GAUGAACGCUGGCGGCGUGCCUAAUACAUGCAAGUCGAGCGAACGGACGAGAAGCUUGCUUUUCUGAUGUUAGCGGCGCACGGGUGAGUAACACGUGGAUAACCUACCUAUAAGACUGGGAUAACUUCGGGAAACCGGAGCUAAUACCGGAUAAUAUUUUGAACCGCAUGGUUCAAAAGUGAAAGACGGUCUUGCUGUCACUUAUAGAUGGAUCCGCGCUGCAUUAGCUAGUUGGUAAGGUAACGGCUUACCAAGGCAACGAUGCAUAGCCGACCUGAGAGGGUGAUCGGCCACACUGGAACUGAGACACGGUCCAGACUCCUACGGGAGGCAGCAGUAGGGAAUCUUCCGCAAUGGGCGAAAGCCUGACGUAGCAACGCCGCGUGAGUGAUGAAGGUCUUCGGAUCGUAAAACUCUGUUAUUAGGGAAGAACAUAUGUGUAAGUAACUGUGCACAUCUUGACGGUACCUAAUCAGAAAGCCAGGGCUAACUACGUG
RNAcentral lists this ribosomal RNA (497 nucleotides) under uncultured bacterium. RNAcentral's name for it is "partial 16S ribosomal RNA". It matches the Rfam family "Bacterial small subunit ribosomal RNA", at positions 28 to 507 of the family's 1533-position model. The record is from RNAcentral.